Unclassified non-coding RNA from Macaca fascicularis (crab-eating macaque), 117 nucleotides. It matches the Rfam family "Metazoan signal recognition particle RNA". Rfam says of the family: The signal recognition particle (SRP) is a universally conserved ribonucleoprotein. The record is from Ensembl. Lineage: Eukaryota; Metazoa; Chordata; Mammalia; Primates; Cercopithecidae.
GCCGGGCGUGGUGGCUCACGCCUGCAAUCCCAGCACUCCGGGAGGCCGAGGUGGGCGGAUCACUUGAGGUCGGGAGUUUGGGACCAGCCUGACCAACACAGUGAAACCCCAUCUCUA